RNAcentral lists this ribosomal RNA (253 nucleotides) under uncultured bacterium. RNAcentral's name for it is "partial 16S ribosomal RNA". It matches the Rfam family "Bacterial small subunit ribosomal RNA", at positions 524 to 776 of the family's 1533-position model. The record is from RNAcentral.
UACGUAGGGUGCAAGCGUUAAUCGGAAUUACUGGGCGUAAAGCGUGCGCAGGCGGUUUUGUAAGCCCGAUGUGAAAUCCCCGGGCUUAACCUGGGAAUGGCAUUUGGGACUGCAAGGCUGGAGUUUGGCAGAGGAGACUGGAAUUCCUGGUGUAGCAGUGAAAUGCGUAGAUAUCAGGAGGAAUACCGAUGGCGAAGGCAGGUCUCUGGGCUAUAACUGACGCUCAUGCACGAAAGCGUGGGGAGCAAACAGG